Molecule: unclassified non-coding RNA, 202 nt
Filed under: Hevea brasiliensis (rubber tree)
Lineage: Eukaryota; Viridiplantae; Streptophyta; Magnoliopsida; Malpighiales; Euphorbiaceae
Source: RNAcentral
GCAAGAUUAUAACUAUAUAAUAAUGGCAUGAGUUGAGCAUGCCAGAGAAGGUAGUUAUUGGAAGAAAGUUUGAUGGUGAGAAAGUGAGAUGCAUUGGGUAGAGAUAAAGAAUUUUGAUCAGAGGAAGAAGAUGAAUUUUGCACUACAAUGUCAGACAUGAUGCUGUUAAGCUAAUACUGCUUUGUUACCAUGUAGAAUGAUA